AGUGAACGCUGGCGGUAGGCCUAACACAUGCAAGUCGAACGGCAGCACAGUAAGAGCUUGCUCUUACGGGUGGCGAGUGGCGGACGGGUGAGGAAUACAUCGGAAUCUACUUUUUCGUGGGGGAUAACGUAGGGAAACUUACGCUAAUACCGCAUACGGCCUACGGGGGAAAGCAGGGGAUCUUCGGACCUUGCGCGAUUGAAUGAGCCGAUGUCGGAUUAGCUAGUUGGCGGGGUAAAGGCCCACCAAGGCGACGAUCCGUAGCUGGUCUGAGAGGAUGAUCAGCCACACUGGAACUGAGACACGGUCCAGACUCCUACGGGAGGCAGCAGUGGGGAAUAUUGGGCAAUGGGCGCAAGCCUGAUCCAGCCAUACCGCGUGGGUGAAGAAGGCCUUCGGGUUGUAAAGCCCUUUUGUUGGGAAAGAAAAGCAGCAGGUUAAUACCCCGCUGUUCUGACGGUACCCAAAGAAUAAGCACCGGCUAACUUCGUG
RNAcentral lists this ribosomal RNA (492 nucleotides) under uncultured bacterium. RNAcentral describes it as "partial 16S ribosomal RNA". It matches the Rfam family "Bacterial small subunit ribosomal RNA", at positions 29 to 507 of the family's 1533-position model. The record is from RNAcentral.